UACGAAGGGUGCUAGCGUUGUUCGGAAUCACUGGGCGUAAAGCGCGCGUAGGCGGCCAAUCAAGUCAGGGGUGAAAUGCCGGAGCUUAACUUCGGAACUGCCUUUGAAACUGAUUGGCUGGAAGAUGAGAGGGGAGUGCGGAAUUUCUGGUGUAGAGGUGAAAUUCGUAGAUACCAGAAGGAACACCGGUGGCGAAGGCGGCACUCUGGCUCAUUCUUGACGCUCUGGCGCGAAAGCGUGGGGAUCAAACAGG
Molecule: ribosomal RNA, 253 nt
Filed under: uncultured bacterium
Lineage: Bacteria
Description: partial 16S ribosomal RNA
Rfam family: Bacterial small subunit ribosomal RNA
Source: RNAcentral